RNAcentral lists this ribosomal RNA (253 nucleotides) under uncultured bacterium. RNAcentral's name for it is "partial 16S ribosomal RNA". It matches the Rfam family "Bacterial small subunit ribosomal RNA", at positions 524 to 776 of the family's 1533-position model. The record is from RNAcentral.
UACGGGGGGGGCAAGCGUUGUUCGGAAUUACUGGGCGUAAAGGGCUCGUAGGCGGCCAACUAAGUCGGAUGUGAAAUCCCCAGGCUUAACCUGGGAACUGCAUCCGAUACUGGAUGGCUUGAAUUCGGGAGAGGGAUGCAGAAUUCCAGGUGUGGCGGUGAAAUGCGUAGAUAUCUGGAGGAAUACCGGUGGCGAAGGCGGCAUCCUGGACCGAGAUUGACGCUGAUGAGCGAAAGCUAGGGGAGCAAACGGG